AUUCGAUUAGAGUUUGAUCCUGGCUCAGAACGUACGCUGGCGGCACGCCUAACACAUGCAAGUCGAACGAAGUAGCAAUACUUAGUGGCAGACGGGUGAGUAACAUGUGGGUAUCUGCCCUUUGGCCUGGAAUAACACGAGGAAACUUGUGCUAAUACCGGAUAAGUCUUUACGGAGAAAGCUUUAUGCACCAUUGGAUGAGCCCGCACUUGAUUAGUUUGUUGGUGGGGUAAUGGCCUACCAAGACUGUGAUCAAUAGCUGAUUUGAGAGGAUGAUCAGCCACAUUGGGACUGAGACACGGCCCAAACUCCUACGGGAGGCAGCAGUGGGGAAUCUUGCACAAUGGAGGAAACUCUGAUGCAGCGAUGCCGCGUGAGUGAAGAAGGCCCUUGGGUUGUAAAGCUCUUUCGUCGGGGAAGAAAAUGACUGUACCCGAAUAAGAAGGUCCGGCUAACUUCGUGCCAGCAGCCGCGGUAAUACGAAGGGACCUAGCGUAGUUCGGAAUUACUGGGCUUAAAGAGUUCGUAGGUGGUUGAAAAAGUUAGUGGUGAAAUCCCAGAGCUUAACUCUGGAACUGCCAUUAAAACUUUUCAGCUAGAGUAUGAUAGAGGAGAGCAGAAUUUCUAGUGUAGAGGUGAAAUUCGUAGAUAUUAGAAAGAAUACCAAUUGCGAAGGCAGCUUUCUGGAUCAUUACUGACACUGAGGAACGAAAGCAUGGGUAGCGAAGAGGAUUAGAUACCCUCGUAGUCCAUGCCGUAAACGAUGUGUGUUAGACGUUGGAAAUUUAUUUUCAGUGUCGCAGCGAAAGCGAUAAACACACCGCCUGGGGAGUACGACCGCAAGGUUAAAACUCAAAUGAAUUGACGGGGACCCGCACAAGUAGUGGAGCAUGUGGUUUAAUUCGAAGAUACGCGCAGAACCUUACCAACACUUGACAUGUUCGUCGCGACUCUAAGAGAUUAGAGUUUUCGGUUCGGCCGGACGAAACACAGGUGCUGCAUGGCUGUCGUCAGCUCGUGUCGUGAGAUGUUGGGUUAAGUCCCGCAACGAGCGCAACCCUCACUUUUAGUUGCCAUCAUUAAGUUGGGCACUCUGAAAGAACUGCCAGUGAUAAACUGGAGGAAGGUGGGGAUGACGUCAAGUCCUCAUGGCCCUUACGUGUUGGGCUACACACGUGCUACAAUGGUAUCUACAACAGGAAGCAAGACUGCGAGGUCAAGCAAAUCCUUAAAAGAUACCUCAGUUCGGAUUGCACUCUGCAACUCGAGUGCAUGAAGCUGGAAUUACUAGUAAUCGUGGAUCAGCGUGCCACGGUGAAUGCGUUCCCGGGUCUUGUACACACCGCCCGUCACACCAUGGGAGUUGGUUCUACCUUAAGGCAAGGUUUCAAACCCUUGACCACGGUAUAGUCAGCGACUGGGGUGAAGUCGUAACAAGGUAACCA
Molecule: ribosomal RNA, 1445 nt
Filed under: uncultured Alphaproteobacteria bacterium
Lineage: Bacteria; Pseudomonadati; Pseudomonadota; Alphaproteobacteria
Description: bacterial SSU rRNA
Rfam family: Bacterial small subunit ribosomal RNA
Source: RNAcentral